CUUUCACCUGAAGAAGACCUUGAGCGUCUAUCACUCCCUCUCUCGGUUCGAGCGAGUUGCAUGGAUUGGGCAGUCAACGUUCUCUUAACUUUUUCUUCAACCCAUCCACCCCCCCACUCUGGGGUGUAUUCCAGCGCUUCUGCCGACGGACUUCGUGUGGGAUAAGUAUCUUUCUUCCAUCAACUGUACGUGUCCCACGGUGGCCUCUUCGCAUCUGGCUUCUGCGAGGGUUAGUUUACACGUCAAGACCUUUGGUUCCGUGUGGUUCCCGGCCGAGUGGGUGUGGCUGUUCCUGCUACGUUUUGUUAUUGUGGAGUAUUUGUUUUAAUAAUUUAUAUUGAAUUUCAAGUGUUUUAUAAUUUCAGAUCGAGCAAGCCUGGUGAAACCUACCAAUAGUUCAACAUCCAGUGGCUGGAGUCUUGCAAAGUUGGAUCUUCCUUUGACGUUCUCAAGGAUUUCAUGGUUUAUGAUCUAUUUCUUUCCUGUCUCCAGACCUUCGUUUGUCAAGGAACGAGGAAUGUGUAUCUCUCAAAGCUGUACAGCUGGCAGAUGAUUGGGCUUCCAGUCGUAAUGCGUAUCCGAAGACGUCCCACUGUCAAAUUAACACGAAGACGCGGAAGUUGCAUCCCUGAUCUGACUCUUCCAGAAAUCCUACCUCCACUGAAAUCCUACCUCCACUGAAGUGUCACAACUGCGGCGAAGGACACAUCCGGCCCCGGUGCCAUAAAAAUCCUCGCGCAUUUGAAAGUGACCGUACGUCAACACACGGUUGGUUUCUGUUUUCGACAUAGAAAUGUCGAAGUAUACCUACUGUGUUGGAGGGAUCAUAAACGGGUUCUUGGAUCUCCACCGUUCUCCGCGACACUGGCUGUACCAGUCUCCUAGUCUCCGAUGAAGGCCUACAUGACGUAGACACCACCAAUUGCAGACAGGUAACCGUUUAUGACUACCUAGGCCGCGCUGAGCAGUUCCCUGUAGUUAAACAUUUACUUGAAGUGUCCUUACUAAGAUGGUUGGGCUGGUGCUGUUCGAGCCCCAAUCUAGUUUGCAACAGUUCAGCUUGGUGACCAUUCCAGGAGCCCGUAAACCUGACGAUCCUGCCUACCCUUUUCCUGUCCACGUGACCUCCGUCUCCCUUCAAGGGAAUGGUGCUGCAGCUGCCCUGACUCAACCCGACGUGUCGCAACCCAUGGCCGAGCGUGUAGGUGCUGUACAAACUCUUGCUGGCUCUGGCCGCAUGAAACGCCUUCACCCUCUUGUUCUUCCCAGUUUGGAACCCUCACUAGCUACUGGCCGUGAUAAGGCCUGUGUCGGACAACCUCUAUCCAUCCUGGGAAGUUCGGAAAACGCGUGCUGGUUGUCCCUUCCGACUGUCGAGGUCAAGGUCAGUGAACACUUCUUCUGGCCUGCCAUGGCCUCGGACAUCUGAGACUACUGCCGCUCCUGCGACAUCUGCCAACGCAAGUAUCAAGGGGGCGGGUCAAGCCUGUUACUCUCCAAUCCUUGCCUGUGGUGACUGAGCCCUUCUCUCGGGUGAUGCCGUUGGGCCACUUCCACCUUCUUCCGAAGGCCACAAGUACAUACUGACCCUUAUUGCCUUUACCACAGGAUUUCCUGAAGCGAUUCUUCUGAAGGACGUGGAUUCCGUCUGUCGCUGAGGCAUCUUCAGAGUCGGAAUUCCUCAUAUGAGAUCCUCGGCGAUAGAGGAACUCGGUUCACGUCGCAACUAAUGGCCGAGCUCCUCAAACUUCGUGGCGUGGAGCCACAGUUCAUUACCUCGUACCACCCCGCUGGGAACGGACUGGUAGAAAGGUUGCACGGUCCCCUCGAAGCCGUCCUUCGGAAGAUUUGCCAGGAAAAACUCUGAGAAUGGCAUCGGUACCUUAUUCCUGCACAUUUUGCACUCCGGGAACUGCCUAGUGAUCGUACCGGCUUCUCCGCCUUCGAUGUCCUUUAUGCCCGGUGUGUGCCGGGACCACCUCCUGUUUUAAAGGAUUGUGGGAGGACAAACUUUUGGAGGAGAGCGACCGGACCAGUCUACAGCACGUCAUCAAGCUGCGGGAUAAACUUCAAGACUGCUCAGCUCGCCGCCCAAGAAGCUAUGAAGUCUCCACUCUUGCCAGUGACGAAACCAGCUUAGGAGGACCAGCCAACGUUCUCGCCUCAACCCUUCUUUCACCCCACCCACACCCCCGGUCUAGGGUGUAUUCCAGCGCUCCUGCCGACUAACUUCGUAUGGGACAAGUACCUUCCUCCCAUCAACUGUACGUGUUCCACGGCGGCCUCUUCGCAGCUGGCUUCUGCGAGGGUUACUCUACGAGUCAAGACAACAUGGUGACGCAAGACCUGAGGUCCCGUGUGGUUCCCGGCCGAGUAGGCGUGGCUGUUCCUGCUACUUUUUGUUUUUGUGGUGUAUAUGUAUUGUCUUAAUAAUUUAUAUUCAAC
Molecule: long non-coding RNA, 2445 nt
Filed under: Portunus trituberculatus (swimming crab)
Lineage: Eukaryota; Metazoa; Arthropoda; Malacostraca; Decapoda; Portunidae
Description: uncharacterized LOC123517339, transcript variant X2
Source: RNAcentral